This 719-nucleotide ribosomal RNA is filed under the name Escherichia coli. Its description in RNAcentral is "bacterial SSU rRNA". It matches the Rfam family "Bacterial small subunit ribosomal RNA", at positions 77 to 798 of the family's 1533-position model. Lineage: Bacteria; Pseudomonadati; Pseudomonadota; Gammaproteobacteria; Enterobacterales; Enterobacteriaceae. The record is from RNAcentral.
AGCUUGCUGCUUCGCUGACGAGUGGCGGACGGGUGAGUAAUGUCUGGGAAACUGCCUGAUGGAGGGGGAUAACUACUGGAAACGGUAGCUAAUACCGCAUAACGUCGCAAGACCAAAGAGGGGGACCUUCGGGCCUCUUGCCAUCGGAUGUGCCCAGAUGGGAUUAGCUAGUAGGUGGGGUAACGGCUCACCUAGGCGACGAUCCCUAGCUGGUCUGAGAGGAUGACCAGCCACACUGGAACUGAGACACGGUCCAGACUCCUACGGGAGGCAGCAGUGGGGAAUAUUGCACAAUGGGCGCAAGCCUGAUGCAGCCAUGCCGCGUGUAUGAAGAAGGCCUUCGGGUUGUAAAGUACUUUCAGCGGGGAGGAAGGGAGUAAAGUUAAUACCUUUGCUCAUUGACGUUACCCGCAGAAGAAGCACCGGCUAACUCCGUGCCAGCAGCCGCGGUAAUACGGAGGGUGCAAGCGUUAAUCGGAAUUACUGGGCGUAAAGCGCACGCAGGCGGUUUGUUAAGUCAGAUGUGAAAUCCCCGGGCUCAACCUGGGAACUGCAUCUGAUACUGGCAAGCUUGAGUCUCGUAGAGGGGGGGUAGAAUUCCAGGUGUAGCGGUGAAUGCGUAGAGAUUUGGAAGAUACGGUGGCGAAGGCGCCCCCUGGACGAGACUGACGCUCAGUGCCAAGCGUGGGACAAAGGGAUAGAUACCCUGGUUAUUUCAC